CGGUUCUCAGGGCUUGCUUCUUGGACCUCAGUACCCUCCUCACUCUGGCCGGGAACGCUGUUGCACACUCAGUGUAGUGUCGCAGCGAAUUGGCAAAACUGAACUCUGCAAGACCCCAGUUUCCUGAUCGGUUGCCUAACCUCGGAUCCACUGUCAGCAUUCGGACGAUUUUGAAGAUGCCCCAACUGCACUUGUAAUCAGCGAUACCCUUCUAACAACAGCAUUCGUAUGACAACAGUAACACACAAUGCGGAUACUGUUCAUCAACAUCUAUGUGGCGGUUGUGGCUUUGGUGACCCUCCGUGCACAGUCAUCAGAGGCAAAUGAACGUCAACGAUCGAAUGGAGAUCAACGUUUCCCAGAGACAGUAGAUGGGAAGAAAAUGAUAAACCUUAUGAACAAACAACUGCAAGAUUGACUGACUUAUCUGUUUACUAGUAAGCAGUAUGACAGCCAGUACUGGGAGCGCCCAGGUAUGGCAAAAUACCUGAAGGAAAUGAGCGACAAGGAAUGGGAAGAAGGACUUGACACAUUGAAGAAGUACAUGCAACGUGGAUGAAAGAUUGGAGACUUCAGAGACCAAGUGAAAGUAGAGGCUAAGGGUCAUCUUCGUACCUCCAACGAUGAAAUUAAGAACGACGAUAUGCCGGAGAGUUUGAAAAAGAUCCAUAAAGAUUCUUCGAAGAAAUUUAAUAUAAGGAACAGGCUCAUGAAGAAAGUUUGCAUUAAAGACGCAGAGAUCUGCCAUUUCCUUGAGGAGGGUCUUGCCAAAGAGGCCGAAAGGAUGUACGAAUUGAAGAGCUACCAGACCAUUGCAACGGGUCUGAUGCCCACAGGCGUGGGGCUCAGUCUGUUUGACGCUAGCUUGUAAAUUGCCACUUGUCUUUCGAUAUUUUAGUUGGUUAUGGAUUCCUUUCUUGUGAGUUGUUCAAGUUUCACUAAUGUGACUUCUAGCGAAAGCACAAUGAUAUUCAGGCUGUGUUAUUCGAUUUUUUUUUCUCAUUCGAUAGCACAUUCUUCUUACUAUUACUGUCUACUUUCAUAACGGUUGAAUGUGUCUGUUAAAUUAUUAUUCCACAUGUUUAUGUAGAGCACACUUUAACUCUGUUAAAGAACAGUUAUCACUAAUUUUGAUGAUGAACGACAUGUAAUACCAGCCUUCAAAAAAAUGACAGAAGCGACAUUUUUUUUCCAUGACACGUAGAUGAGAGUAAAAUAUUAAAUUUGAACGAAACAAUUGCAUUAAACUUUUUUUUUUUUUUUUUUUUUUUUUUUUUUAAUAAAACGUCUCCUACAUCGGUUGGACUGCUAAGCAGCUAAACACUUAUCUCUGUUUCCGACUUGCAAGUACAAAAGUUAUUAGACAAUAUGUAAUAAAUUUGUUUUUCCAACGCCGUGAUGUCCGAGCUCUGACGAAACAAAAAUCAAACUGGCCAAGUAGCACAUCACCCACUUAUAUGCACUAAAAAGGACACCUUAGCUAAGUUUAGAUACCACUGCGAAGCGAAGAUAGUUACUUGGAAAAGAGGAUCAAGGAAUACGGAUAUUAAAUGGGGCAAAUGGAUGUAUAGAGCUGAGCAGAUGUAGCCUAUAUAUAACUGGAAAACUACAUAUAAUAAAAAUGCUCAUGCUUCAGGCAACAAAAUUAUACAACUUCUUAUAAUUCACGUACCAAGGUUUUGUAUAAUAUAAUAUUACAUAAACUAAUAACAGAAGUUUGCAGCAACCUGGCGAACCUAAACGUCCUGAUAUAACAAAGCUUUAAGAAUUUCACCAAUUCCUCAUGUACCCAUAACAUCAACACCAGAGCUAUGUUCAGCCUGAGACGGGCCAUCCAGGCUGGGGCAUAGAACAUGUAAUCUUUGUCAGGGUGGCGGAACUGCCAUUUCUAUCGAGGUGACUUAAACUACUCUAGAUGGAGGUGACCACCCCCUAAGAGGCGAGAGAACGGGCAGUGGCAUAAUUAGCAAGGAUGGUUACACCCAUUAUUGAUCAGGCUGUAACGACCUUCACCACUCACAGAGGGGGUAGCCUCAGGUAACUCCAGUACACUUUAACCUCCAGUAGAAGUAACUCUAGUCGACAAGUCAAUAAUGAUACGGAGACCAAAACAUUUGUUUGGUUUUAUAUGACUUUAUUGAUAUGCACAUUCCUACCGAUGCAUGUUAAAGUGAUGUAGAAAAGAUGUUUUACAUCAGUGGUUCCCAAUCGCCAGGAGUUGCGUAACCUUGGAAAAAAAAUAGGUAUUUUUGCUAGUUAUUCUGAAGAUAACAUGAAGGCAUGUCUUCCUUAUAAAGUUGUACUGCAACUAAAGAAAUAAAACACGUUCAGA
This 2332-nucleotide long non-coding RNA is filed under the name Penaeus chinensis. RNAcentral describes it as "uncharacterized LOC125036807". Lineage: Eukaryota; Metazoa; Arthropoda; Malacostraca; Decapoda; Penaeidae. The record is from RNAcentral.